GAUGAACGCUGGCGGCGUGCCUAAUACAUGCAAGUCGAGCGAACAGACGAGGAGCUUGCUCCUCUGACGUUAGCGGCGGACGGGUGAGUAACACGUGGAUAACCUACCUAUAAGACUGGGAUAACUUCGGGAAACCGGAGCUAAUACCGGAUAAUAUAUUGAACCGCAUGGUUCAAUAGUGAAAGGCGGUUUUGCUGUCACUUAUAGAUGGAUCCGCGCCGCAUUAGCUAGUUGGUAAGGUAACGGCUUACCAAGGCAACGAUGCGUAGCCGACCUGAGAGGGUGAUCGGCCACACUGGAACUGAGACACGGUCCAGACUCCUACGGGAGGCAGCAGUAGGGAAUCUUCCGCAAUGGGCGAAAGCCUGACGGAGCAACGCCGCGUUAGUGAUGAAGGUCUUCGGAUCGUAAAACUCUGUUAUUAGGGAAGAACAAAUGUGUAAGUAACUAUGCACGUCUUGACGGUACCUAAUCAGAAAGCCACGGCUAACUACGUG
This 497-nucleotide ribosomal RNA is filed under the name uncultured bacterium. Its description in RNAcentral is "partial 16S ribosomal RNA". It matches the Rfam family "Bacterial small subunit ribosomal RNA", at positions 28 to 507 of the family's 1533-position model. The record is from RNAcentral.